GAUGAACGCUGGCGGCGCAUUUAAGACAUGCAAGUCGAACGAAGAGUUUCUACCGAACGGAAAUGAAGAUUUAUCAGAUUUGAAGUUCACCAGAAAUUCUUAGUGGCGGACGGGUGAGUAAUACGUAGAUAAUCUGCCUUUUAGAGGGAAAUAACAGAGGGAAACUUCUGCUAAUGUCCCAUAAGACCACGCUAUGGCAUCAUAGAGUGAUCAAAGGAGCAAUCCGCUAAAAGAUGAGUCUACGGCUGAUUAGCCAGUUGGUGGGGUAAGAGCCUACCAAAGCUAUGAUCAGUAGCCGAGCUGAGAGGCUGGCCGGCCACAUUGGGACUGAGACACGGCCCAG
Molecule: ribosomal RNA, 343 nt
Filed under: uncultured bacterium
Lineage: Bacteria
Description: bacterial SSU rRNA
Rfam family: Bacterial small subunit ribosomal RNA
Source: RNAcentral